This 515-nucleotide ribosomal RNA is filed under the name Heterolepisma sp. cooloola_group gbs003755. RNAcentral describes it as "partial 16S ribosomal RNA". It matches the Rfam family "Bacterial large subunit ribosomal RNA", at positions 1830 to 2600 of the family's 2925-position model. Lineage: Eukaryota; Metazoa; Arthropoda; Insecta; Zygentoma; Lepismatidae. The record is from RNAcentral.
GUCCUCUAGUUGAGAUUUGGAGGUCUGGCCUGCCCAGUGAUUUAUUUAACGGCCGCGGUAUUUUGACCGUGCAAAGGUAGCAUAAUAAUUAGUCUUUUAAUUGAUGGCUUGUAUGAAAGGUUGGACGAGGGAAUAACUGUCUCGGUUGAAUAAUUAUGAAUUUUACUUUUUGGUGAAAAGGCCUAAAUUUAUUAUGGGGACGAUAAGACCCUAUAGAUCUUUAUUUAUUUUUAAAGGUAUAAUUUUUGGUUGUUGGUAGUUGUAUGUUUAGGAAGAAAUUUUGCUGGGGCGGCAGGGAGAUUUAAUUAACUCUUUUAUUUUAUUAUUCAUUUACUUAUGUGAUGUUGAUCCAUUUAUUUUGAUUUUAGGAUUAAGAUACCUUAGGGAUAACAGCGUAAUCUUCUUUGAGAGUUCUUAUCGACGAGGGGGGUUGCGACCUCGAUGUUGGAUUAGGAUUUAAUUUAAGGUGUAGAAGCUUUAAUGUUAUGAGUCUGUUCGACUAUUAGAAUCCUACA